This 391-nucleotide ribosomal RNA is filed under the name uncultured bacterium. RNAcentral's name for it is "bacterial SSU rRNA". It matches the Rfam family "Bacterial small subunit ribosomal RNA", at positions 505 to 898 of the family's 1533-position model. The record is from RNAcentral.
GUGCCAGCAGCCGCGGUAAUACGUAGGACCCGAGCGUUGUCCGGAUUUACUGGGUGUAAAGGGCGUGUAGGUGGGCGCCUAAGUCGAUGGUGAAAUCCUGCGGCUCAACCGUAGAAUUGCCGUCGAUACUGGGCGUCUUGAGUACGGCAGAGGGAGAUGGAAUUCAUGGUGUAGCGGUGAAAUGUGUAGAUAUCAUGAAGAACACCGGUAGCGAAGGCGGUCUCCUGGUCCGUUACUGACACUGAGGCGCGAAAGCGUGGGGAGCAAACAGGAUUAGAUACCCUGGUAGUCCACGCCUUAAACGAUGGGUACUAGGUGCUGGGCCGCAAGGUUCAGUGCCAAAGCUAACGCAUUAAGUACCCCACCUGGGGAGUACGAUCGCAAGGUUGAA